Molecule: ribosomal RNA, 309 nt
Filed under: Clostridioides difficile
Lineage: Bacteria; Bacillati; Bacillota; Clostridia; Peptostreptococcales; Peptostreptococcaceae
Description: partial 23S ribosomal RNA
Rfam family: Bacterial large subunit ribosomal RNA
Source: RNAcentral
CGGAAAGACCCCAUGGAGCUUUACUGUAGCUUGACAUUGGGUCUUGGUACUACAUGUACAGGAUAGGUGGGAGGCUUUGAAACCAGGACGCCAGUUUUGGCGGAGCCAUCCUUGGGAUACCACCCUUGUAGUACUGGGACUCUAACCAUAGGCCAUGAAUCUGGUCUUGGGACACUGUCAGGUGGGCAGUUUGACUGGGGCGGUCGCCUCCCAAAAGGUAACGGAGGCGCUCAAAGGUUCUCUCAGUACGGUCGGAAAUCGUACGUAGAGUGUAAAGGCAAAAGAGAGCUUGAUUGCAAGACAUACAGG